This 221-nucleotide non-coding RNA is filed under the name [Clostridium] hylemonae. RNAcentral describes it as "Clostridium hylemonae T-box sequence". It matches the Rfam family "T-box leader". Rfam says of the family: Uncharged tRNA acts as the effector for transcription antitermination of genes in the T-box leader family. T-boxes are found upstream of many aminoacyl-tRNA synthetase genes and some amino acid biosynthetic genes usually in Gram-positive bacteria. The record is from RNAcentral. Lineage: Bacteria; Bacillati; Bacillota; Clostridia; Lachnospirales; Lachnospiraceae.
ACAAAAGCAGAGACGGAAAAGAGUAGUCUUUUGGAGUCAUCCAGAGAGAAAAACAUUUGGUGGAAGUUUUUUGUGACAGAAAGAAGAUGAAAACCAUUCCUGAGCUGCGGUGCCGAAACGACAGUAAGCAUUGCCGUAUUCCUGCGUUAAGGGAUAGGAUUUGAGAGAGUCUGAAGUGAAAAGUUAAGGUGGGACCGUGCAGCGUUAGAUGCACCCUUAAA